Acanthosepion pharaonis is the source of this 114-nucleotide non-coding RNA. Lineage: Eukaryota; Metazoa; Mollusca; Cephalopoda; Sepiida; Sepiidae. The record is from the annotation of a GenBank genome assembly.
UUACGGUCACACCACGUUGAAACACCAGUUCCUGUACGAUAACCGAAGUUAAGCAACGUCGAGCCUGGUCAGUACCUUGGUGGAUGACCGUUUGGAUAUACCAGGUGCUGUAAG